This 433-nucleotide ribosomal RNA is filed under the name uncultured Lachnospiraceae bacterium. RNAcentral describes it as "partial 16S ribosomal RNA". It matches the Rfam family "Bacterial small subunit ribosomal RNA", at positions 341 to 792 of the family's 1533-position model. The record is from RNAcentral. Lineage: Bacteria; Bacillati; Bacillota; Clostridia; Lachnospirales; Lachnospiraceae.
ACGGAAGGCGCAGUGGGGAAUAUUGCACAAUGGGGGAAACCCUGAUGCAGCGACGCCGCGUGAGUGAAGAAGUAUCUCGGUAUGUAAAGCUCUAUCAGCAGGGAAGAAAAUGACGGUACCUGACUAAGAAGCCCCGGCUAACUACGUGCCAGCAGCCGCGGUAAUACGUAGGGGGCAAGCGUUAUCCGGAUUUACUGGGUGUAAAGGGAGCGCAGGCGGUUUUUUAAGUCUGAUGUGAAAGCCCGUGGCUCAACUGCGGGACUGCAUUGGAAACUGGAGAACUAGAGUGUCGGAGGGGCAAGUGGAAUUCCUAGUGUAGCGGUGAAAUGCGUAGAUAUUAGGAGGAACACCAGUGGCGAAGGCGGCUUGCUGGACGAUAACUGACGCUGAGGCUCGAAAGCGUGGGGAGCAAACAGGAUUAGAUACCCUGGUA